AGAGUUUGAUUAUGGCUCAGGACGAACGCUGGCGGCGUGCCUAACACAUGCAAGUCGAGCGGGGACAUUACGACGGAUAUGAAGAUUCGGUUGGAUUUGAAGAUGUAAUGUUCUAGCGGCGGACGGGUGAGUAACGCGUGAGCAACCUGUCCCUUACAGGGGGAUAACACAGCGAAAGUUGUACUAAUACCGCAUAAGACCACAGAGUCACAUGGCUCAGGGGUCAAAGGAGCAAUCCGGUAAGGAGUGGGCUCGCGUCCGAUUAGAUAGUUGGUGAGGUAACGGCCCACCAAGUCGACGAUCGGUAGCCGACCUGAGAGGGUGAUCGGCCACAUUGGGACUGAGACACGGCCCAAACUCCUACGGGAGGCAGCAGUGGGGAAUAUUGGGCAAUGGGGGAAACCCUGACCCAGCAACGCCGCGUGAGGGAAGAAGGUUUUCGGAUCGUAAACCUCUGUCCUUGGUGAAGAGGAAGAGACGGUAGCCAAGGAGGAAGCCCCGGCUAACUACGUGCCAGCCGCCGC
RNAcentral lists this ribosomal RNA (524 nucleotides) under uncultured bacterium. RNAcentral's name for it is "bacterial SSU rRNA". It matches the Rfam family "Bacterial small subunit ribosomal RNA", at positions 8 to 518 of the family's 1533-position model. The record is from RNAcentral.